Molecule: ribosomal RNA, 741 nt
Filed under: uncultured Flavobacterium sp.
Lineage: Bacteria; Pseudomonadati; Bacteroidota; Flavobacteriia; Flavobacteriales; Flavobacteriaceae
Description: bacterial SSU rRNA
Rfam family: Bacterial small subunit ribosomal RNA
Source: RNAcentral
UAUCUGAGACCGGCGCACGGGUGCGUAACACGUAUGCAAUCUACCUCUCACAGAGGGAUAGCCCAGAGAAAUUUGGAUUAAUACCUCAUAGUAUAAUGAUUUGGCAUCAAGACAUUAUUAAAGUCACAACGGUGAAAGAUGAGCAUGCGUCCCAUUAGCUAGUUGGUAUGGUAACGGCAUACCAAGGCGACGAUGGGUAGGGGUCCUGAGAGGGAGAUCCCCCACACUGGUACUGAGACACGGACCAGACUCCUACGGGAGGCAGCAGUGAGGAAUAUUGGACAAUGGGCGCAAGCCUGAUCCAGCCAUGCCGCGUGCAGGAUGACGGUCCUAUGGAUUGUAAACUGCUUUUGCACAGGAAGAAACAACGCUACGUGUAGCGUCUUGACGGUACUGUGAGAAUAAGGAUCGGCUAACUCCGUGCCAGCAGCCGCGGUAAUACGGAGGAUCCAAGCGUUAUCCGGAAUCAUUGGGUUUAAAGGGUCCGUAGGCGGUUUAGUAAGUCAGUGGUGAAAGCCCUGGGCUCAAUCCAGGAAGUGCAUCUGAUACUGAUUGACUGGAGUGCAGGAGAGGAAAGCGGAAUUCCAGGUGUAGAGGUGAAAUUCGUAGAUAUCUGGAGGAACAACAGAAGCGAAGGCGGCUUUCUGGACUGUCACUGACGCUGAGGAGCGAAAGCGUGGGGAGCAAACAGGAUUAGAUACCCUGGUAGUCCACGCUGUAAACGAUGGAUACUAGAUGUCG